This is an RNA transcript of Homo sapiens (human), 1255 nucleotides long. It is a transcript of the gene named hepatitis A virus cellular receptor 1 pseudogene 1, with no coding region annotated. NCBI's taxonomy places the organism in Eukaryota, Metazoa, Chordata, Mammalia, Primates, Hominidae. The transcript has a single exon. The record is from RefSeq and is marked provisional.
GGCUGAUCCCAUAAUGUAUCCUGAAGUGGCCAUCUUAAGCCUCAUCCUACAUCUGGCAGAUUCUGUAGCUGGUUCUGUAAAGGUUGGUGGAAUGGCAGGUCCGUCUAUCACGCUACCCUGCCACUACAAUGGAGCUGUCACAUCCAUGUGCUGGAAUAGAGGCGCACGUUCUUUAUUCACAUGCUGAAAUAGCAUUGUCUGGACCAAUGGAACCCACGUCACCUAUCGGAAGGACACACACUAUAAGGUAUUGGGGGACCUUUCAAGAAGGGAUGUCCCUUUGACUAUAGAAAAUACAGCUGUGUCUGACAGUGGCUUAUAUUGUUGCCAUGUUGAGCACAGUGGGUGGUUCAAUGACAUGAAAAUCACUCUAUCAUUGGAGAUUGUGCCACCCAGGGUCACGACUACACCAAUUGUCACAACUGUUCCAACCGCCACUACUGUUUGAACGAGCAUCACUGUUCCAAUGACAACAAGCGUUCCAACGACAACAACUGUUCCAACGACAAAGACUGUUCCAACAACAACGAGCAUUUCAAUGAAAACAAGUGUUCCAAUGACAACAAUGGUCUCUACCUUUGUUCCUCCAACGCCAUUGCCCACGCAGAACCAUCAAUCAGUAGCCACUUCACCAUCUUCACCUCAGCCAGCAGAAACCCACCCUAUGACACUUCAGGGAGAAAUAAGGACACAACCCACCAGCUCACCAUUGCACUCUUUCACAACAGAUGGGAAUGACACCAUGACAGAGUCUUCAGAUGGCCUUUGGAAUAACAAUCAAACUCAACUGUCCCCAGCAUAUAGUCCACAGAUGGUCAACACCACUAAAGGAAUCUGUGCUGGAGUCUGUAUUUCUGUCUUGGUGCUUCUUGCUCUUUUGGGUGUCAUCAUUGCCAAAAAGUAUUUCUUCAAAGAGGAGACUCAACAACUAAGUGUUUCAUUUAGCAGUCUUCAAACUAAAGCUUUGCAAAAUGCAGUUAAAAAGGAAGUCCAAGCAGAAGACAAUAUCUACAUUGAGAAUAAUGUUUAUGCCACGGACUAAGACCCAGUGGUGCUCUUUGAGAGUUUACGCCCAUGACUGCAGAAGACUGAACAGGUAUCAGCACAUCAGAUGUCUUUUAGACUCCAAGACAAUUUUUCUGUUUCAGUUUCAUCUGGCAUUCCAACAUGUCAGUGAUACUGGGUAGAGUAACUCUCCCACUCCAAACUGUGUAUAGUCAACCUCAUCAUUAAUGUAGUCCUAAUUUGUUUUGCU